Homo sapiens (human) is the source of this 3227-nucleotide long non-coding RNA. RefSeq lists it as uncharacterized. The record is from RefSeq and is a predicted model, not a curated record. The transcript is spliced from 2 exons. NCBI's taxonomy places the organism in Eukaryota, Metazoa, Chordata, Mammalia, Primates, Hominidae.
CCCAGAAAAUAGGAGGGGAAGGAACACUUACCACCACAUUUUAUGAAGCUAAUAUUACCCUGAUACUAAAACCAGAAAAAGACAGUGAAAAAAAAAAAAAAGAAAGAAAAGUAGAUAUCAAUAUCUUUUCAGCGACUUUUGACCCAAGAUGCGUAGCCCUGGGGCUUUCUGUGCUCCUCGGCCCCUUGGUCUCCACGCAGAGGCUCCUGGGCUCACUCUCUCCUCCCAUCUCCUCUUCUAGGAAGCAUUGAUGCGGCUGUCCAGCCUGUUGGAUCAGCUGCAACCCACCCUGGUCUGUGAGUUAAUGUUUCAGUGACCCAGCUUCUCAUCUUGCGUCGUUGCAAACACUCCAGGUCCCCAGCCAGCUUUCAGUAGGGCAGGGGAAAAAGAGUAUGGACUGAGGGGUCUCCCUGGGCUGGGCCGAGCAGGAGGAGGCUGAGCAGUGAAAACGGUGACCCCUGCCCUCACGGAGCUAACGAGAAGAGCAAAUGGCUGGCAACGGUGCAUGACACAGAAUGAGCAACGGGCUGCACACAUCGCGAUUUACGUGGCUUUGGAAAAAACGCGUCUCACAAGUUGGGGCUGUCAUACAUUGGCUUCUUGGUAAUCAAUGCGUUUCAGCAAUAUAUGGGGGUGAGUUUAGUUUCCAGUUGGCUUCCCUGAGGGUGUUGGAUAAAAUUGCAAUUUAGAUUCAAUCAAUACACAUUUAGUGAGCACCUAUUCUUUGCCUGAACGAUUGUGGGCAUUGUGGGGGAUACAAAGGGAGACAUCGUGGGUGGAGCUUACCAUGGAAACAACUGUCUCUUGCUCCAUGGUGUUUACCUUGCCUUGGAAAAUAAACAACGUAAACAUUUUUUUGUGACAACGGAGACAGGAUUGAGAGACUUGCACAGACUUCCUUUCCCAAAACUUCUGCAGACUAAAAUUCUACCAUUAGCUAUUAAUUUCUUUGACUAAAUUUUGUCCUCACUCUGCAGUUUCUUUUUUCUAAAGUAAAAAUACUUCUAGAAAGAGAACACGACGUCCUUAACCUCUUAAAACAGAAAUGACAUAUAAAUCGACUUGCACACCAAUUUGGGCCCUUGGAUAUUUGUUGCCUGAAGAGCUGUGUUGAAAAGGCCUCUGAGGCUCAAUCUGGCCUCUGAUGCAAAGAAUGUCGAUCGAUUGCUGAUGUCUGCCCUGAGUGCUGGAAGGGAGGAUGGCAUUUACUAUCCCUGCCUUAAAUUAGAGGAGCUUAUGGGGUUCUUCCCCAACUAUAACAAGAGGGGUUAAAUGAACACUAAUCAUCUGAUAGGACAGCCACUGAAGGAGGUGAGGGGAAUUUAAGAAGGAAAGGCUGUGACUGCCAAUCUCCUAAUGUCACCUGCAUGGCCGUCAGUCACCUGCAGCCCUUGUCAGUGCACCCAAAGCCUUUGCAGAUGUCAACCCAGCUGGCUUUCCAGCCAUGUCUCACCAUACCCCAGUGCUCCUCUGCUCCAGCCCCACUGAACUCUGCCAGACCUGGACGUGCCCUUAUACAUGUGCUUCCUAGACAUCCCAGAACAUCUGUGCCCAUUGUCUCUGCACAGGGAAUUCUUAUGUAACUCCAUGAACACCUACCCUAAGUGUCACUUCCUGUGAGAAGUCCUCCCUGAUUCACUCCCUCCUCUGUUUACCCACCCACUGGAGACCCAGCUCUGCAUGGCAGUCUUCACACUCUAUCAUCUUUGUCCUUCCUUCUUUUUUUUUUGAGUCAAGCUUUCACUCUGUCGCUCAGGCUGGAGUGUAGAUCACAGCUCGCUGCAGCCUCCAACUCAGCUAAAGCGAUCCUUCCUCCUCAGCCUCCAGAGCAGCUGGGACUACAGGUGCAUGCCACCAUGCCCAGGUAAUUUUUUUCUUUUUUGUAGAGACAGGGUCUUGCAAUGUUGCCCAGGCUGGCCUCGAACUCCUGGCCUCAAGCACCUCCCACUUCGGCCUCCCAAAGUGCUGGGAUUAUAGGCAUGAGCCACUGUGUCCAGCCCAUCCUUGUCCUUUCACAUGUGUCACCUUUCUCGUGAGACUAAGAGGUCUGUGGGAGCAGGGUUAGUGCCUGGUCUCUGUGAUCCAGUCCCCAGCCCCAGGCCUGACACACAGCUGGUGCUCAACAACCACUGGCUGAAUAUUGGAAUGAAUAAAUGAACGAACUUUGUCAGUGUGGCAGAUGCUAUGCCUAUGCUGAGACUGCUGUUUUUUCACAUGCCCCUGCUUCUCCUGUGUUCCUGCAGUAGCACACUGCCGGUGGUAAAUGAAUCCCCAAGUAUGAAUGCUUCACAGAACAAAGUUUAAUUUCCCCUCCCACAAAGUCCAGUGCAGAUUGUGCAGCCCUCCGGAACACUUGUCUUGGUAUUAACCACAUCUUUUAUUUCCUGCAUUCCAAUGCUCUGACAUCUGGGGCCUCGCUGACCCCCUAGAGUUAGCCAAUUUCUAGAGAUACAAGUUGCCAUGACAGCACUUUUCAGAUGCAAACAACCCACCCAAACCAAACAAAGCCUUCUUUUCCCUCCACCUCCUAACUGACCUUGGUGCUUCCCCGUGUGGCUCUGUGUGGCGUGGCAGGCGGUGUCCCCUCCUCCUGGGAACUGUGAGUAACAAACUACUUUUUCAAUAGCAAUCAUCUCCUGAUCUGUUGGCUUCACUAUACCUCAAAAUUUCUACUGAUACACUGUGUUUUGAAACAGGCUUCCACUGAGUGACUCAGCGAUCCAGUCUGCUUUCAUAGGUGGCUCUAAUGAGGCAGAAAUUUAAAAAUAAAUAUGCAUUCAUUCACUCCAAGAAAAGUAACAGGCAAGGGUUCACAAGAAAAAAAGAAGUUUUCCUCUGCCUAGCAAGCACACUUCAAGGACAGUUAUAAGAUAAUGCUGUACGAGCAGCCAAGGCCAAAGGAAUGGGCUUCAGACACCCCUCUCCCCCAGAGCAAUGUUGAAGGAAAAAAAAAGAGAAAAAGAUAAAUUACUUUACUGUUACUCCUUUCCCAGGCUUCUUAAACGUGAUUAUGUUUUACAAAUGUCUGUAUUUAGCCAGUUCUUGUUUUUCUUUUGACGCAGCUACAAGGCCACAAAUUAUACACUAUAUGAUUAACUGCUUUUGUUUUACUUUUGUAAGUCUGCUUAUAAAAACCCCACUCAGUCGUUGUUCAAUGCUCAGCUUUUUGGAUGCGAAUCCACUGAGCCAGUGCGUACCUAAAAUAAACAAUCCUCCCGUUCUCCGUA